This 484-nucleotide ribosomal RNA is filed under the name uncultured bacterium. RNAcentral's name for it is "partial 16S ribosomal RNA". It matches the Rfam family "Bacterial small subunit ribosomal RNA", at positions 30 to 507 of the family's 1533-position model. The record is from RNAcentral.
AUUGAACGCUAGCGGGAUGCUUUACACAUGCAAGUCGAACGGCAGCGCGGACUUCGGUCUGGCUGCGAGUGGCGCACGGGUGAGUAAUGUAUCGGAACGUGCCCAGUAGCGGUGGAUAACUACGCGAAAGCGUAGCUAAUACCGCCUACGCCCUACGGGGGCAAGCAGGGGAUCGUAAGACCUUGCACUAUUGGAGCGGCCGAUGUCGGACUAGCUAGUUUGUGAGGUAACGGCUCACCAAGGCGACGAUCCGUAGCUGGCUGGAGAGGACGACCAGCCACACUGGGACUGAGACACGGCCCAGACUCCUACGGGAGGCAGCAGUGGGGAAUGGUGGACAAUGGGGGCAAACCUGAUCCAGCCAUCCCGCGUGUGAGAUGAAGGCCUUCGGGUUGUAAAGCACUUUUGGCAGGAAAGAAACGUCGCGGGCUAAUACCCCGUGGAACUGACGGUACCUGCAGAAUAAGCACCGGCUAACUACGUG